GACAGCAGCAGCCGCGGUAAUACGUAGGGCGCAAGCGUUAUCCGGAAUUAUUGGGCGUAAAGAGCUCGUAGGCGGUUUGUCGCGUCUGCCGUGAAAGUCCGGGGCUCAACCCCGGAUCUGCGGUGGGUACGGGCAGACUAGAGUGAUGUAGGGGAGACUGGAAUUCCUGGUGUAGCGGUGAAAUGCGCAGAUAUCAGGAGGAACACCGAUGGCGAAGGCAGGUCUCUGGGCAUUAACUGACGCUGAGGAGCGAAAGCAUGGGGAGCGAACAGGAUUAGAUACCCCCGUAGUCCCUGUCUCUUAUAC
RNAcentral lists this ribosomal RNA (306 nucleotides) under uncultured bacterium. RNAcentral describes it as "partial 16S ribosomal RNA". It matches the Rfam family "Bacterial small subunit ribosomal RNA", at positions 507 to 807 of the family's 1533-position model. The record is from RNAcentral.